RNAcentral lists this ribosomal RNA (484 nucleotides) under uncultured bacterium. Its description in RNAcentral is "partial 16S ribosomal RNA". It matches the Rfam family "Bacterial small subunit ribosomal RNA", at positions 30 to 507 of the family's 1533-position model. The record is from RNAcentral.
AUUGAACGCUGGCGGCAGGCCUAACACAUGCAAGUCGAGCGGAUGAAGCGUGCUUUCUCCUGGAUUCAGCUGCGGCCGGGUGAGUAAUGCCUAGGAAUCUGCCUGGUCGUGGGGGAUAACGUCCUUAAACGGGCGCUAAUACCCCAUACGUCCUUUUGUUGCAAGUUGGGGUUCUUCGGUCCUCACGCUUUCUUCUUUGCCUUGGUCGGUUUUCCUAGUUGGUGGGGUAAAGGCCUACCAAGGCGACGAUCCGUAACUGGUCUGAGAGGAAGAUCAGUUACAAGGGAAGUGAGACAGGGUAAAGACACCGACGGGAGGAAGCAGUGGGGAAUAUUAGAGAAUGGGGGAAAGCCUGAUCGAGCAAAGCCGAGGGAGGGAAGAAGGAGUUAGGAUUGUAAAGCAAUGUAAGUUGGGAGGAAGGGAAGUAAGUUAAAACGGGGCUGUAUUGACGGUACCAAAAGAAUAAGCACCGGCUAACUUCGUG